ACAGUUCAUUAAUUUGACAGAUGUUACAGGCUGCCCUAUAUGAGACAUAUAAUAUUAAAAUUAGGCUGUAUAAAAUAAGCCUUUCAUGUAAGUUUCCAUGUUUUCCUAGUUCGAGGCACGUGUUUUCCAUCGGGGGAAAAAAUCGGUUAAAGCUUCUAAUUUGGUCAGAUGUUACACUUGCGGCGCGGCGAUCGCUAAAGCAGUCUCUGAUCUCCCCUGUGGCUUUGGUGGAAUGGAACAGCAAAAAAGACCAGCUGUUUUAAACAAAGAGUCGGAUGGUGACGCCUUUCCUGGAUUCAGACUGACAUCGUCAUGCCGGAACACCAGACUCCAGAAAAUAUCAGAAAUCUGCUGGAAAUCCACAAACCUACAGCUGUUCCAACACUAUGAGAAAUUAAUUUAUUAUGAUCUGUCUGUACUUUUGUUCUUUUCUUAUUAUAUCUUUUAAUUUUUUACUGUUGCUGUUUUUAAAUUAGGUGAAAAAAACAUUUGUUGCAUAUUUGAAUGCAAAAUUUGUAGCAUUAUUCGUCUUCUACAGAUUUUUUUACGCAGUCCCUUGGGAUUGGCCCCCCCCUCUCAGAGGAAUUCACUCCGUCUCAGAGCAGAAUGCCAUUAGAGGUUGUUUUUGGGGGAGCAACAAAGUGCCCAUUCAUUCCCCCAUCUCCACGGGGAUCUGGGCUCGGGGAACAUGUGACCCGAAAGGCCAACCUGAGGAGAGCUAUGAAAACGAACCUGGCUCAGCGCAUGCUGCGAGGCGUGCAGCGGCGCGGCUGAACAACGUGCAAGGGUUCGAAUCAGGGAGGAAGCUUCGCAUAAACGCCCGGAUCCGCCGGGGUAGCUCAUGCACCGUUUUCAUACCAUUUAAUCUACAGUGCAACUUUAGAAAAUGUGAAAAAGAGUGACAGCGAGAGUGAGAGCAAGAGAGAGAGAGAGAAUAAGCUGGACAAUACUGAAACGGAGCACAGUGUAUUUGCUCUAAAGUGUGGAUUCUGCCAUCAAUGUGUGUAUAUGUAAUAAAAUUAUAU
This is a long non-coding RNA of Brienomyrus brachyistius, 1025 nucleotides long. RefSeq lists it as uncharacterized. The transcript has 3 exons. The record is from RefSeq and is a predicted model, not a curated record. NCBI's taxonomy places the organism in Eukaryota, Metazoa, Chordata, Actinopteri, Osteoglossiformes, Mormyridae.